UACGGAGGAUGCAAGCGUUAUCCGGAUUCAUUGGGUUUAAAGGGUGCGUAGGCGGGCUAUUAAGUCGGCGGUGAAAUUUUGCAGCUCAACUGUAAAAGUGCCAUCGAUACUGGUUUUCUUGAGUGUGGAUGAGGUAGGCGGAAUUUGUGGUGUAGCGGUGAAAUGCAUAGAUAUCACGAGGAACUCCGAUUGCGCAGGCAGCUUACUAAACCAUAACUGACGCUCAGGCACGAAGGCGUGGGGAUCAAACAGGAUUAGA
Molecule: ribosomal RNA, 259 nt
Filed under: uncultured prokaryote
Description: partial 16S ribosomal RNA
Rfam family: Bacterial small subunit ribosomal RNA
Source: RNAcentral